RNAcentral lists this ribosomal RNA (474 nucleotides) under Exiguobacterium sp. E71. RNAcentral describes it as "bacterial SSU rRNA". It matches the Rfam family "Bacterial small subunit ribosomal RNA", at positions 28 to 478 of the family's 1533-position model. The record is from RNAcentral. Lineage: Bacteria; Bacillati; Bacillota; Bacilli; Caryophanales.
GACGAACGCUGGCGGCGUGCUAAUACAUGCAAGUCGAGCGCAGGAAAUCGACGGAACCCUUCGGGGGGAAGUCGACGGAAUGAGCGGCGGACGGGUGAGUAACACGUAAAGAACCUGCCCUCAGGUCUGGGAUAACCACGAGAAAUCGGGGCUAAUACCGGAUGGGUCAUCGGACCGCAUGGUCCGAGGAUGAAAGGCGCUUCGGCGUCGCCUGGGGAUGGCUUUGCGGUGCAUUAGCUAGUUGGUGGGGUAAUGGCCCACCAAGGCGACGAUGCAUAGCCGACCUGAGAGGGUGAUCGGCCACACUGGGACUGAGACACGGCCCAGACUCCUACGGGAGGCAGCAGUAGGGAAUCUUCCACAAUGGACGAAAGUCUGAUGGAGCAACGCCGCGUGAACGAUGAAGGCCUUCGGGUCGUAAAGUUCUGUUGUAAGGGAAGAACAAGUGCCGCAGCAAUGCGCACCUGACGGACC